This is a long non-coding RNA of Nicotiana attenuata, 987 nucleotides long. RefSeq lists it as uncharacterized. The transcript is spliced from 3 exons. Lineage: Eukaryota; Viridiplantae; Streptophyta; Magnoliopsida; Solanales; Solanaceae. The record is from RefSeq and is a predicted model, not a curated record.
CCAAUCCCAUGUAGUACUAUAUACUAUAUAGAAGCCGCUUGGGAAGCAGUUGGGAGUCGUCAUGCCUGCUUACAAAGGGCACUUUGGUCAUUUCAAAUUAAUUUUUAAAUUUAUCUUACGCAGGAGUAAGUUAUACUCUAUGUUGCACAUGCUGUACUUUGGAGAGAAAGUUUCCCAAAUUGCAUAAAAGUACCACACGGUGAAUCUAAAUCAUCCCCUUUUCUUCUCUCUUGGCACAAUUCCUACAAUCAGUAGUAUCUUUUGGAGUUGUCUUUGAUUUAAAUUAUUAUUUUCUUGUAUUCCCUGUACAACCAUCUUCUCUUGCUGUGGAGUAACCCCUUCACCAGGAGAUGGAUAAGUAUUAUGAUCUACUAAACAUGUUGAAGAAAGUUGGAUAUCUCCAAGGUGCACAGACAGAAAUGCUGCUUAGUAGUCUCAAACUUGCAACAGUCACUCUCAAGCUACAGAAGAUAAUAAGAAGGCUGUUUUAUGAGUUAGUCAGGAUGAUUUGGCGUAUCGAGAAUGAUGGGUGAUGGAGACUGUGUGAAUGGUUUAUGUUUGGAAACUUCGCGGAAUUAUCUUCUUGGAGUAACUUUUAUAUACAGGAUUUCAAUGGCAAGGGCCAAGGGGUGAUCAAAUCCAUCUGCUUAUUUUACUCGAGGAAUUACCAAGUCUUAUGGCUGCAUAAAAUGGCAGAAACGAUAUGCAGCAGUUACAAUCAUUUGUCACUGCGAAACGACGUUUAAAGGCUGAUGAGUUGCAGAACGCAAUAGAGGAACAACAGAAGAAUUUGGUUGAAGAGAUCAGGAAUGCAGUUGAUGAUCAUAUAAGAGUAGGCUGGAGGAUGCUAUUGGAGGUCCUGAAGUAAUGGCUCUGAAUUAGCGAGUGAAUUACGACUAUGCUCCGUGAUUAUAACUUUAUUCUUUCAUACAUCAGCUAACUGUAGCAACAGAUCUCCUAAUGCAGUACCUAAAUUCAAGUCUUUAA